Small nuclear RNA from Chionomys nivalis (European snow vole), 193 nucleotides. RefSeq annotates it as U2 spliceosomal RNA. The transcript has a single exon. NCBI's taxonomy places the organism in Eukaryota, Metazoa, Chordata, Mammalia, Rodentia, Cricetidae. The record is from RefSeq and is a predicted model, not a curated record.
GGUCCUUCUCGGCCUUUUGGCUAAGAUCAAGUGUAGUAUCUGUUCUUAGCAGUUUAAUGUCUGAUACGUCCUCUAUCCGAGGACGAUAUAUUAAAUGGAUGUUUGGAACUAGGAGUUGAAAUAGGAGCUUGAUCCGUCCACUCCACGCAUCGACCUGGUAUUGCAGUUUUGAACCCAAAGAAAAACAUAUAUA